AGGCUUGACAUGUGGUGAGUAGCGAACCGAAAGGGGAGCGACCCGUCAAAUCGGGCCAUCACACAGGUGCUGCAUUGGCUGUCGUCAGCUCGUGCCGUGAGGUGUUGGGUUCAGUCCCGCAACGAGCGCAACCCUCGCCCUUUGUUGCCAUCGGGUAAAGCCGGGCACUCUAAGGGGACUGCCAGCGACAAGUUGGAGGAAGGAGAGGAUGACGUCAAGUCAUUCAUGGCCUUUAUGCCUAGGGCCACACACGUGCAACAAUGGCCGGUACAGACGGAGGCAAUGCCGAGAGGCGGAGCAAACCCGAGAAAAACCGGUCCCAGUU
This 325-nucleotide ribosomal RNA is filed under the name uncultured bacterium. RNAcentral describes it as "bacterial SSU rRNA". It matches the Rfam family "Bacterial small subunit ribosomal RNA", at positions 977 to 1293 of the family's 1533-position model. The record is from RNAcentral.